GAUGAAGAACGUAGUGAAAUGCGAUACGUAAUGUGAAUUGCAGAAUUCAGUGAAUCAUCGAGUCUUUGAACGCACAUUGCGCCCCCUGGUACUCCGGGGGGCAUGCCUGUCCGAGCGUCAUUGCUGCCCUCAAGCACGGCUUGUGUGUUGGGCCUCCGUCCUCCUCCCGGGGGACGGGCCCGAAAGGCAGCGGCGGCACCGCGUCCGGUCCUCGAGCGUAUGGGGCUUCGUCACCCGCUCUUGUAGGCCCGGCCGGCGCUUGCCGACACAUCAAUCUUUUUUCCAGGUUGACCUCGGAUCAGGUAGGGAUACCCGCUGAACUUAAGCAUAUCAAUAAGCGGAGGA
RNAcentral lists this unclassified non-coding RNA (345 nucleotides) under soil metagenome. RNAcentral's name for it is "partial contains 5.8S ribosomal RNA, internal transcribed spacer 2, and large subunit ribosomal RNA". The stretch from base 1 to 120 matches the Rfam family "5.8S ribosomal RNA", at positions 35 to 154 of the family's 154-position model. The record is from RNAcentral.